This 1274-nucleotide long non-coding RNA is filed under the name Anser cygnoides (Swan goose). RNAcentral's name for it is "lncRNA (ENSACDG00005011531.1)". Lineage: Eukaryota; Metazoa; Chordata; Aves; Anseriformes; Anatidae. The record is from RNAcentral.
AUGUCAGUCCAUGAUGCUUUGUCUCCAUUGCUCCUUCAUGUUAACCCUCUGCCCCAGCUCCAGAUGGUGUCCCUCCCACGGGAUGCCGUCCUUCCCGAACUGAACCUGAGGGGUCUGCCCACAGGCAGCAGCUCUUCAAGAACUGCUCCCACAAGGCUCCGUACCACGGGGUCCAUCCCCCAGGAGCAANNNNNNNNNNNNNNNNNNNNCCGCAGGGGAACUUCUGCGUGUGCCUGGAGCACCUCCUGCCCUCCUGCACUGACCUUGGGUGCUGCGGAGUUCUUGGAGGCAGAUGGAAGUGGGGCACUGCCAAAAUCUUGCCAUGCAUUCGUUUGUGCCCCCAUUGUCAGAGGAACACAGUGUUAGAAGGACACCCAGGAGAUGAAAUAAUUGUCUUUUAAGGUGAAAGUAUCCCUGGAUUUUCUCUUUCCUCUGGGAGAGGUGGAAGCUGCAUUUAUGAGCUGUGGUCACAGUUCCUGCUAUAAAGCUCCUUAUCCAAAACUAUCUAAGUUUACCUGCUGUGUCAGUGGAAAGAAUUUUAUUCAGUAUCUUCAUCUGAAAUCCUAAUACCACCAGCAUCAAAAACUCACAUGUAUACAUGAACUUGGGUGGCAAUAUUUUAGUGCAAAUCAAGUAAACUCAUAGGUAAGAGGAAAAAAAAGGGAAAAACAAACACAAACCUUUUGUUUCAUUUUAAUUGGCAAUAUAAAAUAUUUAAGAAUGCUAUUUUUCACAGUAUCAGCACUUGUAAUUCCUAAAUUAGCAUAAUCUUUGUAAAUAGAAUAAGCUUCUUAAAAGUACAAAAAAUGUAUCUUAUAUUUGGACAUGAUAUCACUAGGCAGAUCUAGUUUCCUUUUUCACUCUGCUUAAGAUGAUUUUCUGCAGAAGAAUUAUUUUUACAAGAUUUUAUACUAAAGUAGCGAGAACAUAGAAUACAUUUCUCUGCAUUUCCUGACCUUCAUGCCUCACAGAGACUGCAAAUUCUGCUUGAUAUUUAAAAUAUCCUGACAUCGACUACACCAUUACUUCCAACCAGCUAUGUCAGUAGCAUCAGCACUAAGUGUUUAUCUUAUUUCUGUCCUUUCAACAGCAGAGUUCAGCUGGUUACCGGUGACCUCUGCUAUGCCGUAUUCCUGCCCGCUGAACAUCCACAACCUAAAUUCUUCUCAUUAGCUUGUCUGUACAUUUUAGUGUUCAAAAUUAGCACCUGAACACAGUUCUGUGAGGGUCUAUGGGGAACAAACUUCAGGUAAAUAAACAUCUUGUGCUGAGCA